CAAACUUUAUAUUGUACAAGCUUCCCUCCAUUCUUUAAGCAAUAAACUUUUGCUUUGGUGAUAAUCAUAUUCAUCACACUUGUCCUCCACCACCCUCAGCUGACCAACUUAAAUAUAACCCUCCCUUCUUCCUCACAACUCCAGACAAACUUGCAGAUUUCAACACACACACACAGUUCAAACCCACCACAAAACUUAACUCUCGGUAAGUAUUCACAAUCUCACUUUCUGCAUCGUUAAGUUUCACCGCUUAUGUUUUUUCUUGGUUCAGUCUGCAUUUUACCUUCAUAUCUGCUUCAAGAUUUCAAGAAACAUCUGCGAAAAACAAUGUCGUAAAGUAGGCAACAAGAGAAACAUGUCUGCACACUCAAAAUAAGUAUGGAUUACACUAUAGGAAUCAAAAAGUUUCCCAAUGCCAUGGAAACUUAUUACAUACUAGUACUCUGCACACUUAACACAGCAAAAGAUGUUUCGAGCUGAUCAACUUUUGCUCUCUUUCUUUUUUUUUUUUUUUUUCUUGCCAUAUCUAUACCUAUUUCUAAUCUCUCUAAAGGGCAAUCUCCGUUGCCACUGUAUAGCUACACUUAAUAACUAAAGAGUUUUUAGUGUUGAAUCUGUCUGUACAGUAGGCUUAUCUAGCCAAAAAAGAACUUUUUUGGAACAAUGGAUGGCCGUAUCCACGUUCCAUGAAACAAACGAAAAAAUUGGCACACCACGAGAAAAAACACACAAGAAGCAAGGUGAGUAUUAGGAAUUAAAACUCGAGGAUGCAGAUCACAGCGGUUGAUCUUCAGAAGAAAGUGUAGGAUGCUCCGUAGCAUCCUAGAUUCCAAAGGAGAUCAGAUCCUCCCAGGCCCACUCGGAAAAACUAAGGUCGAGAUAGCUGCAAUCCAAGGAUAAAGAACUCCAAAAAGAAUCAAAAAUACUCUACACUUUACGGAAAACCUUCCAACGGUCGGCUGGUGAUUUGGUCAUAGACAAUGGAGAAGGGACCUCUUGCAGGGUGGAGGUUGGGAAGCAUUAGUGACAUGACUAGGAGAGGUAGACUCCAUUCCUAGUGUCUUCAUUAGGAAGUGCUUUUCCUGCAUAAUCAAAUGGUAAAAUGGUUAGUCUAAAAACACUUCCCACCAAAAAACAAUAGGACUCUUUUAGGCCUUUUACAUUCUCUAAAUCUGAAAGAAAAUGAACUAAAACACUUCAAGGCAUGAGUGUCAUCCUCUUGUACUCUAGUAUAGUGGGAAAAACAAAACUAUCGAGGCUGUUUUGAGAAACAAACUGAUAACUUGAAUGAUGUAGAAAAUAUAAUUAGUUUCCAGUUUUAUGAUUAUCAGCUACAGUAGUGUAACCUGUGUGAGGGCGGAGAAAGAUACACCAAAGGGCAAAGAUGUUGUGAGGGAAAAUUAGUGUAUCCAUGUGGCGGUUCAUAACCAGAUUCAAAAUAUUAAACAUCAGAAUCUGAAAUAUUAAUUUUUACAGAUUUGUGAACUGUGUAUCAGUUUAUCCCAUAAUCUAUGCUGUAUACAUGAUAUUUUGAAUGCUUGUUCAAGUACAAAGACUGAAUUGUUUGUCAAUCGUCAUAAAUAGCAAGUUGGUUACCAAUGACACUACCAAUUCAAGUGAAAGACUAAAUUAUUCUGCAUGGAGCAUCAAAUUUUUUACUUCUUAUAAAUAGAAGUGAAUUGAAAUGCUUAGGAUUCUUACACUUUCUGAAAAUUUUGGACUGGGAAUGGUCGCUGCCAAUGCUCCAAACAAGGGAGUCACGUGAAGAGGAGAACCAAACUCUGUGCUAGAAUACUCGCAUAUUACUUCAUCAUUAUCGGUUGUGUUGUUACAAGUUAACAUGUUCACUGCAGUAAUAGAUUUGUUAUGAGCGUCAGAAAAAAAUAUAUAUUCUACCAUCAUCUUAAGAUGGGAUGGUAGCCAAUGAAUCUUGGUGUUAAUUAUGAUACAUUUACUUGUCUGUGUGUAUGUGUGUGUAUAAUAUACCUUCAGUUGUGCUUGCAGUAUGGCAUUUUCGACUUCCUUCAUCAUCGCAAUGCUGAUGAUCUAAUUGAUCUGGCUGCAUUUGAUGUCCAUUUUCCUGAUGCAGCAAGCAGGUUUCAGCUCGACUUUCUUCCGUUUUAUCACCUGGCAUGCUUGGCAGCAGAGUUGAUCCUGCACUGUACUCAGAGCUGGCUGUGGACGACUCAUAUAAAUCAGGUUCCCUGAAAAG
Molecule: long non-coding RNA, 2212 nt
Filed under: Salvia miltiorrhiza (redroot sage)
Lineage: Eukaryota; Viridiplantae; Streptophyta; Magnoliopsida; Lamiales; Lamiaceae
Description: long non-coding RNA (SMIL_LNC006774)
Source: RNAcentral